UGAUCAUGGCUCAGAUUGAACGCUGGCGGCAGGCCUAACACAUGCAAGUCGAACGGUAACAGGAAACAGCUUGCUGUUUCGCUGACGAGUGGCGGACGGGUGAGUAAUGUCUGGGAAACUGCCUGAUGGAGGGGGAUAACUACUGGAAACGGUAGCUAAUACCGCAUAACGUCGCAAGACCAAAGAGGGGGACCUUCGGGCCUCUUGCCAUCGGAUGUGCCCAGAUGGGAUUAGCUAGUAGGUGGGGUAACGGCUCACCUAGGCGACGAUCCCUAGCUGGUCUGAGAGGAUGACCAGCCACACUGGAACUGAGACACGGUCCAGACUCCUACGGGAGGCAGCAGUGGGGAAUAUUGCACAAUGGGCGCAAGCCUGAUGCAGCCAUGCCGCGUGUAUGAAGAAGGCCUUCGGGUUGUAAAGUACUUUCAGCGGGGAGGAAGGGAGUAAAGUUAAUACCUUUGCUCAUUGACGUUACCCGCAGAAGAAGCACCGGCUAACUCCGUGCCAGCAGCCGCGGUAAUACGGAGGGUGCAAGCGUUAAUCGGAAUUACUGGGCGUAAAGCGCACGCAGGCGGUUUGUUAAGUCAGAUGUGAAAUCCCCGGGCUCAACCUGGGAACUGCAUCUGAUACUGGCAAGCUUGAGUCUCGUAGAGGGGGGUAGAAUUCCAGGUGUAGCGGUGAAAUGCGUAGAGAUCUGGAGGAAUACCGGUGGCGAAGGCGGCCCCCUGGACGAAGACUGACGCUCAGGUGCGAAAGCGUGGGGAGCAAACAGGAUUAGAUACCCUGGUAGUCCACGCCGUAAACGAUGUCGACUUGGAGGUUGUGCCCUUGAGGCGUGGCUUCCGGAGCUAACGCGUUAAGUCGACCGCCUGGGGAGUACGGCCGCAAGGUUAAAACUCAAAUGAAUUGACGGGGGCCCGCACAAGCGGUGGAGCAUGUGGUUUAAUUCGAUGCAACGCGAAGAACCUUACCUGGUCUUGACAUCCACGGAAGUUUUCAGAGAUGAGAAUGUGCCUUCGGGAACCGUGAGACAGGUGCUGCAUGGCUGUCGUCAGCUCGUGUUGUGAAAUGUUGGGUUAAGUCCCGCAACGAGCGCAACCCUUAUCCUUUGUUGCCAGCGGUCCGGCCGGGAACUCAAAGGAGACUGCCAGUGAUAAACUGGAGGAAGGUGGGGAUGACGUCAAGUCAUCAUGGCCCUUACGACCAGGGCUACACACGUGCUACAAUGGCGCAUACAAAGAGAAGCGACCUCGCGAGAGCAAGCGGACCUCAUAAAGUGCGUCGUAGUCCGGAUUGGAGUCUGCAACUCGACUCCAUGAAGUCGGAAUCGCUAGUAAUCGUGGAUCAGAAUGCCACGGUGAAUACGUUCCCGGGCCUUGUACACACCGCCCGUCACACCAUGGGAGUGGGUUGCAAAAGAAGUAGGUAGCUUAACCUUCGGGAGGGCGCUUACCACUUUGUGAUUCAUGACUGGGGUGAAGUCGUAACAAGGUAACCGUAGGGGAACCUGCGGUUGGAUCACCUCCUUACCUUAAAGAAGC
RNAcentral lists this ribosomal RNA (1541 nucleotides) under Escherichia coli. RNAcentral describes it as "bacterial SSU rRNA". It matches the Rfam family "Bacterial small subunit ribosomal RNA". Lineage: Bacteria; Pseudomonadati; Pseudomonadota; Gammaproteobacteria; Enterobacterales; Enterobacteriaceae. The record is from RNAcentral.